Molecule: ribosomal RNA, 292 nt
Filed under: uncultured bacterium
Lineage: Bacteria
Description: partial 16S ribosomal RNA
Rfam family: Bacterial small subunit ribosomal RNA
Source: RNAcentral
GUGUCAGCAGCCGCGGUAAUACGGAGGGGGCAAGCGUUGUUCGGAAUUAUUGGGCGUAAAGGGCGCGUAGGCGGCCGAUCAAGUCGGGUGUGAAAUCCCUCGGCUCAACCGAGGAACUGCACCCGAUACUGCUUGGCUAGAGUCCGGGAGGGGAUGGCGGAAUUCCCAGUGUAGCGGUGAAAUGCGUAGAUAUUGGGAAGAACACCGGUGGCGAAGGCGGCCAUCUGGACCGGUACUGACGCUGAGGCGCGAAAGCCAGGGGAGCGAAUGGGAUUAGAAACCCCAGUAGUCC